Molecule: ribosomal RNA, 2276 nt
Filed under: marine metagenome
Description: bacterial LSU rRNA
Rfam family: Bacterial large subunit ribosomal RNA
Source: RNAcentral
ACAGUUCAUAUGGAGUUACAAAACGGUUAGAUAACUGAAACGCCUGGGAAGGUGUGCCACAGAUGGUGAUAGCCCAGUAAGUGACAUCGAGCCGACUCCGAACUGUAUCCUGAGUAGUGCGGGACACGAGAAAUCCCGUGUGAAUCUGGGAAGACCACUUUCCAAGGCUAAAUACUCCAGGCGACCGAUAGCGUAUAGUACCGUGAGGGAAAGGUGAAAUAGUACCCCGAAAGGGGAGUGAAAUAGUUCCUGAAACCGCAUGCUUACAAGCAGUUGGAGCCAGUUUACUGGUGACAGCGUGCCUAUUGAAGAAUGAGCCUACGAGUUACGUUCAGUGGCAAGGUUAAGCGAUGAGAGUCGCGGAGCCGAAGCGAAAGCGAGUCUGAAUAGGGCCAUAAGUGGCUGGACGUAGACCCGAAACCGAGUGAUCUACCCAUGGGCAGAGUGAAGCGGGAGUAAUGCCCCGUGGAGGCUCGAACCUUCCUACGUUGCAAAGUAGUUGGAUGACCUGUGGGUAGCGGUGAAAUGCCAAUCGAACUCGGAGAUAGCUGGUUCUCCUCGAAAUGUAUCUAGGUACAGCCUCGUGUGUUUUCUUCUGGGGGUAUGGCUCUGAAUGGACUAGGGGGCAUAGCGCUUACCAAACCCAAUCAAACCGGGAAUACCAGAAGAUUAGAACACGGGAGUGAGACUGCGGGAGCUAACUUCCGUAGUCAAGAGGGAAACAACCCAGACCCCCGGCUAAGGUCCCUAAAUCCAUGCUCAGUGUGCAAGGAUGUCCAGUUGCAUAGACAACCAGGAUGUUGGCUUAGAAGCAGCCAUCAUUUAAAGAGUGCGUAACUGCUCACUGGUCGAGUGGCCGGGCGCCGACAAUGUAACGGGGCUUAAGCAUGGUACCGAAGCUAGGGGACCGCUUUUUAGCGGUCGGUAGAGGAGCGUUCUGUAUGCAAUGAAGCUGUGCGGGUGACCGUCGGUGGAGCGUCCAGAAGUGAGAAUGUAGGCAUGAGUAGCGAAAUUCAGGUGAGAACCCUGAACGCCGUAAGCCCGAGGGAUCCUACGCAAAGCUAAUCCGCGUAGAGUUAGGCGGGCCUAAGCUGAGGGCGAGAGCCGUAAGCGAUGGACAGCAGGUAAGUAUUCCUGCCCCACCAUAUGGGCGUUUGAGAUAUGAGGUGUGACCCGGAAGGAUAGACAGAGCGGAUCCUGUGGACAUGGUCCGUUUCUGCACCGUAGGCGUCUGGCGAUAGGAAAAUCCGUUGCCAGGUUAAGCGGAGGGUGCGGAGGGUAGUGGAGACUUUGUCAAAGCGACUCUGUUGAGUCCAUGCCGGCUAGAAAAGCAUCGAUAUCGAGUGCAUAUGGUGCCCGUACCGCAAACCGACACAGGUGGGCGACGGUAAGUACCGUAAGGCGAACGAGAGAACCUUCGUUAAGGAACUCGGCAAAAUAGCUCCGUAACUUCGGGAGAAGGAGCGCCCUUGUGAGUGAAGCACUUUACGUGCCGAGCAUUACGAGGGCCGCAGUGAGCAGGCCCAGGCGACUGUUUAACAAAAACACAGGUCUCUGCUAACCGGUAACGGGAUGUAUAGGGGCUGACGCCUGCCCAGUGCCGGAAGGUUAAGGAGAUGGCUGAGAGGCCAGAACUGAAGCCCCGGUGAACGGCGGCCGUAACUAUAACGGUCCUAAGGUAGCGAAAUUCCUUGUCGGGUAAGUUCCGACCCGCACGAAUGGCGUAACGAUCUGGGCACUGUCUCAACGAAGGACUCGGCGAAAUUGAGAUGGCCGUGAAGACGCGGCCUACCCGCAGCAGGACAAAUAGACCCCGUGGAGCUUUACUGCAGUUUGGCGCUGGCGUAUGUGAUUAGUUGUAUAGCAUAUGGGGGAGGCUUUGAACCGUGGCCGCUAGGCUGCGGGGAGCCACCAGUGGAAUACCCCACCUCUAAUUUUGUACUCCUCACCAGUGAGCAAGCACUGGGACAGCGCCUGAUGGGCAGUUUGACUGGGGCGGUCGCCUCCGAAAGAGUAACGGAGGCGCGCAAUGGUUCCCUCAAGGUGGAUGGUAAUCACCUGUUGAGUGCAUUGGCAUAAGGGAGCUUGACUGCAAGACUGACAAGUCGAGCAGGGGCGAAAGCCGGCCAAAGUGAUCCUAUGGUCCCGAGUGGAAGGGCCAUGGCUUAACGGAUAGAAGCUACCCCGGGGAUAACAGGCUGAUCCUUCCCAAGAGUUCACAUCGACGGAAGGGUUUGGCACCUCGAUGUCGGCUCGUCGCAUCCUGGGGCUGAAGA